GGGGGCGAAAUAGGAUCGACAAGGGCGUAAAGAUCGACUUUUUGCUCGGCAUUGUACCACCGUUAUCGGGCUAAACUUAUAGUUGCAAACGACAACUAUGCUGAAGCACGUCUCGCUGCCUAACGGCGGUGCGACACUUCAAAUCAAGUCCUUCCGGGUAGCACCGUAAGGCGGGGUCCGAAGGCACCUGGCAACAGAAGCCUUCACCUUCU
This 212-nucleotide transfer-messenger RNA is filed under the name Sinorhizobium meliloti 2011. RNAcentral describes it as "ssrA". It matches the Rfam family "Alphaproteobacteria transfer-messenger RNA", at positions 148 to 355 of the family's 355-position model. From Rfam's summary of the family: Bacterial tmRNA, also known as 10Sa RNA or SsrA, is named for its dual tRNA and mRNA-like properties. Lineage: Bacteria; Pseudomonadati; Pseudomonadota; Alphaproteobacteria; Hyphomicrobiales; Rhizobiaceae. The record is from RNAcentral.